This 427-nucleotide ribosomal RNA is filed under the name uncultured bacterium. Its description in RNAcentral is "partial 16S ribosomal RNA". It matches the Rfam family "Bacterial small subunit ribosomal RNA", at positions 355 to 774 of the family's 1533-position model. The record is from RNAcentral.
UGGGGAAUAUUGCACAAUGGGCGCAAGCCUGAUGCAGCCAUGCCGCGUGUAUGAAGAAGGCCUUCGGGUUGUAAAGUACUUUCAGCGAGGAGGAAGGCGAUGCGGUUAAUAACCGUGUCGAUUGACGUUACUCGCAGAAGAAGCACCGGCUAACUCCGUGCCAGCAGCCGCGGUAAUACGGAGGGUGCAAGCGUUAAUCGGAAUUACUGGGCGUAAAGCGCACGCAGGCGGUCUUGCAAGUCGGAUGUGAAAUCCCCGGGCUCAACCUGGGAACUGCAUUCGAAACUGGCAGGCUUGAGUCUUGUAGAGGGGGGUAGAAUUCCAGGUGUAGCGGUGAAAUGCGUAGAGAUCUGGAGGAAUACCGGUGGCGAAGGCGGCCCCCUGGACAAAGACUGACGCUCAGGUGCGAAAGCGUGGGGAGCAAACA